AGGAUGAGACUGCGUCUGAUUAGGUAGUUGGUGGGGUAACGGCCCACCAAGCCCAUCAUCAGUACGGGUUGUGGGAGCAAGAUCCCGGAGAUGGAUUCUGAGACAUGAAUCCAGGCCCUACGGGGCGCAGCAGGCGCGCAAACUUUACAAUGCGAGCAAUCGUGAUAAGGAAACCCUGAGUGCCUGUUGAUGCAGGCUGUUCAUUAGUUUAAAUUGCUAGUGAAGAAAGGGCAGGGCAAGACCGGUGCCAGCCGCCGCGGUAAUACCGGCUGCUCGAGUGAUGGCCACUAUUACUGGGUUUAAAGCGUCCGUAGCUUGAUUGUUAGGUCUCUUGGGAAAUCGUCAGGCUUAACCUUAAGGCGUCUAAGAGAUACCGGCAAUCUUGGGACUGGGAGAGGUAAACCGUACUUCGGGGGUAGGAGUGAAAUCUUGUAAUCCUCGAGGGACGACCUAUGGCGAAGGCAGUUUACCAGAACAGCUUCGACAGUGAGGGACGAAAGCUGGGGGAGCAAACGGGAUUAGAUACCCCGGUAGUCCCAGCCGUAAACAAUGUGCGUUAGGUGUAUCGGCAACCACGCGUUACUGAUGCGCCGCAGAGAAAUCGUGAAAUGCACCACCUGGGAAGUAUGGUCGCAAGGCUGAAACUUAAAGGAAUUGGCGGGGGAGCACCACAACAGGUGGAGCCUGCGGUUUAAUUGGAUU
Molecule: ribosomal RNA, 702 nt
Filed under: uncultured archaeon
Lineage: Archaea
Description: bacterial SSU rRNA
Rfam family: Archaeal small subunit ribosomal RNA
Source: RNAcentral